ACAAGUCAACAUUAACGCCACAUAUAUUAUCAAAUUGCACAACUUAAUAUACUCAAUACAUUAGCAUAAAUAACAUCACAUUGAACAAUGAAUUUAACACAUUCGAAUAGAUCAAUUUUAAGCUCAAUAACGGUUAAUUUAGCAUGUGAACAACAUAUACGUGUUUUGCAUUUACAACAUGGUUUAAUCAACUUUAAGCAAGAAAUUAAAUGCUGCAAAUUUCCAGCAUUCAAAAUCAUAUAUGGACAACAUUAAUAUGACAUUUUCGAGCACCUUAAAGACACAUUUGGAAAAUUUGAAGAACCAUUCGAACAACCACAUUCGACCAUCUUAAAGACAACUAAAUUUUGUCUUGUUUAGGACAACCUUACAGGUCAGCAAGGUAUGUGUUAAACC
Molecule: long non-coding RNA, 396 nt
Filed under: Gossypium raimondii (Peruvian cotton)
Lineage: Eukaryota; Viridiplantae; Streptophyta; Magnoliopsida; Malvales; Malvaceae
Description: long non-coding RNA (GRAI_LNC001352)
Source: RNAcentral